AAUAUAUAUGUACACUAUCUGGAAUAUAGUCAGUAGGUUGAUCACUCAGAUUUUGCACCAUUUUAAUGGGAGUUGACCUUUACUAUUUCCUUGUUUUUUAUUUUGAAUCUUUUAAUUCGUAGUUUGUGAGAUAUCAGGAGAGGGACUGGCUUGCGUGGUGGAUGGUUCUCAUGGUUCUUCACUCCUGGUCCUCUCACAAUGAUCCCUUUCCCCAGGUCAGAUACCAGAUACCUUCUGGCUAUAAUGGCACACACUUUGAUCAUCUUUGCAAGUCACGGAAGAAAGGUUUACAUUUAUGACAGCAGAGGAAGAUGCUUUGAGAUAAUGCUUCUGUCCAAAACCACACAAAACUGUAGCAGAAUAACCAAAAAGUAAAUUAAUUAUGGAACAACAAAACACUUUUUGGAUUCAAAUUGUAUAUAAGAAAGACAAAUUAAAUUAUGCAGUUUGGAAUGUCUUUUACAUAAACAUUGUGGAUCCUGUCUAUAUGCACCUAUAUCAGUGUGGGCAUACUUCUUUGAUUUCAAGAGAAAUAAAACUGAUGGAGCAUGAG
Molecule: long non-coding RNA, 553 nt
Organism: Cygnus olor (mute swan)
Lineage: Eukaryota; Metazoa; Chordata; Aves; Anseriformes; Anatidae
Exons: 3
Source: RefSeq, a predicted model, not a curated record